Molecule: long non-coding RNA, 384 nt
Filed under: Anser brachyrhynchus (Pink-footed goose)
Lineage: Eukaryota; Metazoa; Chordata; Aves; Anseriformes; Anatidae
Description: lncRNA (ENSABRG00000003419.1)
Source: RNAcentral
CCCGAGACUACCACCCAGGAGAGCGUUCUUGCUUCAAGUCCAGCUGGCAUCUUGGGAUCACUUGCUCACUUUCCAGGCUGAGGCACAGCAGUUGGAACGCAUCUCCCCCAGCCUUGAAGUAGGAGGCAACGCGAAUCGACGCGCUGGAGCAUUUUCAAGGGCCUGUAGUUGACAUCUCACCUGUCAGCUUUGAGGACAACGCUGGGAUUUCAUGGUGGCUGCCAAAAUUCUGUCUCCUUCCUCCCACCUUCUGCAACCAAAUUAAUAACGGUGACCAGGAGGUAGAGAAAGGAGAAAGCAAUCUCCAACAUUUAGUUACUUAAAGAACUACCUGAAAUUCCUCAUCCGUCUUCCUUGUAAGCAAUCAACAUUUUCUCUUCUUUC